Molecule: long non-coding RNA, 687 nt
Filed under: Homo sapiens (human)
Lineage: Eukaryota; Metazoa; Chordata; Mammalia; Primates; Hominidae
Description: HSALNT0042028
Source: RNAcentral
UGGGCGACAGAGCGAGACUCCAUCUCAAAAAACAAACAAAACAAACAAAGAAACAAACAGCUGCCUCAAAAACGUGAGUGAUAAUUUAGGGGGCUUGGAAGAUGUCUUUCCAGGAGGCCUCGGUGGCUGGGGUCUCGGCUGUAGUCAUAUUGGACUUUCGGUGUCUAAAUGACUGUCGCCCACUCUCCUUUCCCUGCCUCUGAGCUUUCAUUUUCCUCAGUCUGCUAUAAUCCUCUACUCUUGGUCAACUCCCACGCCUUCCAUGACCCCAUCAGUCUGUGAGUUGCUCCUGCAAUCAUUCCACUCUUCUCAUUCACCAUACUUUGUGGGAUUGAUGAAUUAAAUCUCAUAGUAUCCUGAAUUUGAACCAACCUGUAGAUCUUCAAUAAGUACUUUUUAAAAGGGAAUCAAAUUUCCUUGUUUUGUGUUACUUUAAAAACUACAUUUCUUCAAAGACAAGUAGCCUGAGUGGUGUCUCAGUGGAAAGUUACUUUCCCAAAGCCAUUCUACAGUAUCUGCAAUUGCCUUAAAAUUCUGCCAAUCCGAUUAAUCUUAUUUAAACCACAAAAAUGACUUUCCUAAAUACAUCUUAUGAUGAUCCUAAGUGAUACCUAAAGUGAUAAACGGAUGAAUCGACAAGUGAAGUGGCUUGUUUGAAAGGUUUCCGCGGAUGGCCCUCCUUUCCGU